UUCCUUGGGCAGCACAUACACUAAAAAUGGAAUGAUACAGGGAAGAUUAGCAUGGCCCCUGCACACUCUUUUUUUUUGGGGGGGGUUCUCUUUUU
This is a small nuclear RNA of Rattus norvegicus (Norway rat), 95 nucleotides long. The record is from Ensembl. Lineage: Eukaryota; Metazoa; Chordata; Mammalia; Rodentia; Muridae.